AUGAGCUCCUCACAAAAUGCUCAGGCCCUUGGCCCUGAAAAUUUUCAGAUUCUCUCUGCAUCUGAUUAAGCCUCAAGCCACAACUCCGAGCCAGGCGUUCUGACUCUGAUGCCACGAUGACAGUGAGAUGAAUAAUAGCUAACAAACAUGUGUGCCUUUUAGGAGCCAGAAACCUGACAGCUAUCAGAACAGUUAAAGUGGGAGCCUCUCUUUCCCUGGGAAAUGUGGGGCACAGAGCAGGCCAUAGCCUGCACUACAGCGCGGGGGACAUGCCACGGGGACAGGGCAGAGCCUCCUCUAGCCUCCCGCCUGACCAUCCCAGCCUGCCCUGCUCGAGGGCCCCUCUCUGCCUGUCCUCACCACACAGCCCCCUCCUGCCAGCUGCGCCAUCAGCCAUGCUGGAGGUCUGCUUCUGCGGGGACCCAUACCCAGAAACCCAGUGG
Long non-coding RNA from Lutra lutra (Eurasian river otter), 443 nucleotides. RefSeq lists it as uncharacterized. Lineage: Eukaryota; Metazoa; Chordata; Mammalia; Carnivora; Mustelidae. The record is from RefSeq and is a predicted model, not a curated record. The transcript has 3 exons.